RNAcentral lists this ribosomal RNA (497 nucleotides) under uncultured bacterium. Its description in RNAcentral is "partial 16S ribosomal RNA". It matches the Rfam family "Bacterial small subunit ribosomal RNA", at positions 28 to 507 of the family's 1533-position model. The record is from RNAcentral.
GAUGAACGCUGGCGGCGUGCCCAAUACAUGCAAGUCGAGCGAACAGACGAGGAGCUUGCUCCUCUAACGUUAGCGGCGGACGGGUGAGUAACACGUGGAUAACCUACCUAUAAGACUGGGAUAACUUCGGGAAACCGGAGCUAAUACCGGAUAAUAUAUCGAACCGCAUGGUUCAAUAGUGAAAGACGGUUUUGCUGUCACUUAUAGAUGGAUCCGCGCCGCAUUAGCUAGUUGGUAAGGUAACGGCUUACCAAGGCGACGAUGCGUAGCCGACCUGAGAGGGUGAUCGGCCACACUGGAACUGAGACACGGUCCAGACUCCUACGGGAGGCAGCAGUAGGGAAUCUUCCGCAAUGGGCGAAAGCCUGACGGAGCAACGCCGCGUGAGUGAUGAAGGUCUUCGGAUCGUAAAACUCUGUUAUUAGGGAAGAACAAAUGUGUAAGUAACUAUGCACGUCUUGACGGUACCUAAUCAGAAAGCCACGGCUAACUACGUG